RNAcentral lists this transfer RNA (107 nucleotides) under Tupaia belangeri chinensis (Chinese tree shrew). RNAcentral's name for it is "Tupaia chinensis (Chinese tree shrew) tRNA". It matches the Rfam family "tRNA". From Rfam's summary of the family: Transfer RNA (tRNA) molecules are approximately 80 nucleotides in length. Their secondary structure includes four short double-helical elements and three loops (D, anti-codon, and T loops). The record is from Rfam by way of RNAcentral. Lineage: Eukaryota; Metazoa; Chordata; Mammalia; Scandentia; Tupaiidae.
GUCAGGAUGGCCGAGUGGUCUAAGGCGCCAGACUCAAGCUUGUACUUCCCGGGUCUGGGGUUUCUGGUCUCCGCAUGGGGGCGUGGGUUCGAAUCCCACUCCUGACA